RNAcentral lists this ribosomal RNA (253 nucleotides) under uncultured bacterium. RNAcentral's name for it is "partial 16S ribosomal RNA". It matches the Rfam family "Bacterial small subunit ribosomal RNA", at positions 524 to 776 of the family's 1533-position model. The record is from RNAcentral.
UACGAAGGGGGCUAGCGUUACUCGGAAUCACUGGGCGUAAAGCGCACGUAGGCGGCUUCUUAAGUCAGGGGUGAAAUCCUGGAGCUCAACUCCAGAACUGCCUUUGAUACUGAGAAGCUUGAGUCCGGGAGAGGUGAGUGGAACUGCGAGUGUAGAGGUGAAAUUCGUAGAUAUUCGCAAGAACACCAGUGGCGAAGGCGGCUCACUGGCCCGGUACUGACGCUGAGGUGCGAAAGCGUGGGGAGCAAACAGG